GAUGAACGCUGGCGGCGUGCCUAAUACAUGCAAGUCGAGCGAACGGACGAUAAGCUUGCUUUUCUGAUGUUAGCGGCGGACGGGUGAGUAACACGUGGAUCACCUACCUAUCAGUCUGGGAUCACUUCGGGAAACCGGCGCUAAUACCGGAUAAUAUUUUGAACCGCAUGGUUCAAAAGUGAAAGACAGUCUUGCUGUCACUUAUAGCUGGAUCCGCGCUGCAUUAGCUAGUUGGUAAGGUAACGGCUUACCAAGGCAACGAUGCAUAGCCGAACUGAGAGGGGGAUAGGCCACACUAGAACUGGGACACGGUCCAGACGACUACGGGAGGCCGCAGUAGGGAAUCUGACGCAAUGGGCGAAAGCCUGACGGAGCAACGCCGCGUGAGUGAUGAAGGUCUUCGGAUCGUAAAACUCUGUUAUUAGGGAAGAACAUAUGUGUAAGUAACUGUGCACAUCUUGACGGUAACUAAUCAGAAAGCAACGGCUAACUACGUG
This 497-nucleotide ribosomal RNA is filed under the name uncultured bacterium. RNAcentral's name for it is "partial 16S ribosomal RNA". It matches the Rfam family "Bacterial small subunit ribosomal RNA", at positions 28 to 507 of the family's 1533-position model. The record is from RNAcentral.